RNAcentral lists this long non-coding RNA (235 nucleotides) under Elaeis guineensis (African oil palm). Its description in RNAcentral is "long non-coding RNA (EGUI_LNC064134)". The record is from RNAcentral. Lineage: Eukaryota; Viridiplantae; Streptophyta; Magnoliopsida; Arecales; Arecaceae.
ACGACAACUGACCUUCGAUCGAGCUUCCAUAAUAAGCGGUCUCCUUUCAGCCUUCUAUAAGAACCAGACUUCGACCGAACUUCUAUAGCGGUUGGAUAUUGGAUGAGCUUCUACGACGAUCGGGCUCCGACAGCUGGAUUCCUACAACGAUCGAUCGCCUCCGAUGUCUGCCGAACCUCCCCAACGCCAUCCGAAGUCCAUCACUGGCCGACCCUCCACCAGAUCCUUCAUAAAA